Molecule: long non-coding RNA, 323 nt
Filed under: Homo sapiens (human)
Lineage: Eukaryota; Metazoa; Chordata; Mammalia; Primates; Hominidae
Description: HSALNT0391681
Source: RNAcentral
CUUAAACACACUCCUACGAAGCCAGCAUGUAUACCUGACAAUCACACAAGUGUCUUGUAUACCAGUGAAACUACUGAUGCCAGCUGGUCUAGAGGAAUCCAAGAGAAGCUGAUUCACCAAAGAAGGCUGUUUCCAGAUCAUGAUGAUUUCAUCCAUCCUACCUUGACCAAUCAAUGAUCCCAAUUUUCCAGUUACUUGCCCUCUACAAUCCCCUUAAAAGUCCCAGCCCAGAACUUCUCAGGGAGAUGGAUUUGAGGGUCCCUCCCAACUCCUUGCUUGGUUACCCUGUGAUCAUUAAACUCUUUCUCUGCUGCAAACCCUGU